Molecule: long non-coding RNA, 868 nt
Filed under: Capsicum annuum
Lineage: Eukaryota; Viridiplantae; Streptophyta; Magnoliopsida; Solanales; Solanaceae
Description: long non-coding RNA (CANN_LNC022324)
Source: RNAcentral
UCUCACACGUCUCUUUCUUUUUCUGAGAAAUCAGUUCACGCGUAUUGCUCCCCUCCCCAAAAAGAACAAUGAGUCUCUUUCAACUUUCCCAAAUUCAGCACAAAUCAAUUGACCCUUCCCCUUCUCUAUUCACCACCUCUUCUCCACCACCCCAAGAUAACAAACCCUGGUCGCUUCCACUGUAGAGCACUGUAAGAUUCCUUUCUUUUUCAUCGUCUACAACUCGUGAUUUCUCUUUGAAUUAGCAGAUCAGUCACCAAAAUGGUGAUACAACAUUCAAAUUCACAUUAAUGGUUUGGGAAUUGAACAAAUUCGAGAAAGAGUUGUCCCUUUCAAUUAUUUUUGUAUUUUAAAUUCCUCAUCUCUCUACCCAUUGAUUUCUAUUAAUUUUGUGUUUCAAUCUAGACUUUGAAGUCUGGAUUUGCCUAUAAAUAUCGAUAAUUUCAUGCUUUAGAGGGAGUUUUUUAGACCUUCAAAAAUAGGGGUGAAAAGGGAGAGUUUGGAAGGAGGGAAAUCUGUAAAUAUGACAAUCUUUAUUUCUUUCUCUCCUCCCCUCGAUUCUUAUAUUGUUUAGUCUGAAUAUGGCUAGUUUUGGCAGGUCAUUUAUUUUGGCGGUGCUUCGAUGACGCCGUUGAAGCGAUGCCACCCCCUACUGUUCGCUUUCAUCGUGAUGCUGAAAACUUAAUUUUCAUCAUCAUGAUUUAUUCAGUUGGUCUUUCUUAUUGUUGAAAUUAUUUAUGUUUCGUCAUGUACGAUUUUGUGUGCUACUAAUUUCUCGUGAAUUUCGUCUUCUCCGACGAACUUGGUCAUUGACUAUUGCUCUUUGUGUUAUUGUCUGGAUUGUCUUUUGAAGUUUGUUUGAUAAUUU